Molecule: ribosomal RNA, 468 nt
Filed under: uncultured bacterium
Lineage: Bacteria
Description: bacterial SSU rRNA
Rfam family: Bacterial small subunit ribosomal RNA
Source: RNAcentral
GGUGAACGCUGGCGGCGUGCUUGACACAUGCAAGUCGAACGGUAUGUGGCAACACAUAGAGUGGCGAACGGGUGAGUAACACGUGGGAACGUAUCUUUUGCAGGGGGAUAACUGACCGAAAGGACAGCUAAUACCGCAUAAGUCCGAGAGGAGAAAGGUGCAAAAGCAUCGGCAGAAGAGCGGCCCGCGGUCCAUCAGCUAGUUGGUGAGGUAAGGGCUUACCAAGGCGACGACGGAUAGCCGGCGUGAGAGCGUGGCCGGCCACAAGGACACUGAGAUACGGGUCCUACUCCUACGGGAGGCAGCAGUGCGGAAUUUUAGAUAAUGGAGGGAACUCUGAUCUAGCGACGCCGCGUGCAGGAAGAAGGUCUUCGGAUUGUAAACUGCUGUGUAAGGGAAAAUGCUAUGUAGAGUGGAAAGCUACAUAGAGGGAUGGUACCUUACUAGAAAGCCCCGGCUAACUACGUG